This 164-nucleotide small nuclear RNA is filed under the name Fukomys damarensis (Damara mole-rat). RNAcentral's name for it is "U2 spliceosomal RNA". It matches the Rfam family "U2 spliceosomal RNA". Rfam says of the family: U2 is a small nuclear RNA (snRNA) component of the spliceosome (involved in pre-mRNA splicing). Lineage: Eukaryota; Metazoa; Chordata; Mammalia; Rodentia; Bathyergidae. The record is from Rfam by way of RNAcentral.
AUCGCUUCUCGGCCUUUUGGCUAAGAUCAAGUGUAGAAAUUACAAUAUUUAUCACAGGGCAAACCAAUUAUUUAAAAAUUAUUUUUGAUUCCCAAUAAUGAUCUAAUGAUUUCACCCAGUUUUUAAUUGGUAAUAAUGCAAAUAAAGCAUUUAUUCCAUCUGUU